RNAcentral lists this transfer RNA (77 nucleotides) under Planctomycetaceae bacterium TMED10. RNAcentral's name for it is "tRNA-Ile". It matches the Rfam family "tRNA". From Rfam's summary of the family: Transfer RNA (tRNA) molecules are approximately 80 nucleotides in length. The record is from RNAcentral. Lineage: Bacteria; Pseudomonadati; Planctomycetota; Planctomycetia; Planctomycetales; Planctomycetaceae.
GGGCGUAUAGCUCAGUUGGUUAGAGCGCAGCCCUGAUAAGGCUGAGGUCCCUAGUUCGAGUCUAGGUACGCCCACUA